GAUCCUGGCUCAGGAUGAACGCUGGCGGCGUGCCUAAUACAUGCAAGUCGAACGCUUUGUAAAGGAGCUUGCUUCUUUACGAGGAGUGGCGAACGGGUGAGUAAUACAUAAGCAAUCUGCCCAUCGGCCUGGGAUAACAGUUGGAAACGACUGCUAAUACCGGAUAGGUUAGUUUCUGGCAUCAGGGACUAAUUAAAGUUGGGAUACAACACGGAUGGAUGAGCUUAUGGCGUAUUAGCUAG
RNAcentral lists this ribosomal RNA (242 nucleotides) under uncultured bacterium. RNAcentral's name for it is "partial 16S ribosomal RNA". It matches the Rfam family "Bacterial small subunit ribosomal RNA", at positions 15 to 248 of the family's 1533-position model. The record is from RNAcentral.